AUACUUCCGUGAUGUUAGCACUGGGCUCUGAGUACAUGUGUAGAUAAACGUGCAUUUCUGUUACUGACAUGGCAGAAUUCUGAGAAGUGU
This is a small nucleolar RNA of Misgurnus anguillicaudatus (oriental weatherfish), 90 nucleotides long. The record is from RefSeq and is a predicted model, not a curated record. NCBI's taxonomy places the organism in Eukaryota, Metazoa, Chordata, Actinopteri, Cypriniformes, Cobitidae.